RNAcentral lists this ribosomal RNA (253 nucleotides) under uncultured bacterium. RNAcentral describes it as "partial 16S ribosomal RNA". It matches the Rfam family "Bacterial small subunit ribosomal RNA", at positions 524 to 776 of the family's 1533-position model. The record is from RNAcentral.
UACGAAGGGGGCUAGCGUUGUUCGGAUUUACUGGGCGUAAAGCGCACGUAGGCGGAUUGUUAAGUCAGGGGUGAAAUCCCGGAGCUCAACUCCGGAACUGCCUUUGAUACUGGCAAUCUUGAGGCUGGAAGAGGUUAGUGGAAUUCCCAGUGUAGAGGUGAAAUUCGUAGAUAUUGGGAAGAACACCAGUGGCGAAGGCGGCUAACUGGUCCAGAUCUGACGCUGAGGUGAGAAAGCGUGGGGAGCAAACAGG